GGGGAAGGCUGGCGGCGUGCUUAAGACAUGCAAGUCGAGCGGGGCAGGUUUUUCCUUGUUCCGCGGCGGACGGGUGAGUGGCGCUUGGUGGCCCUCCCCGGAAGAGCCGGCCACCCUGGGGAAACCCAGGCUAUUCCGCAAUGUGGUCCUGUCUUGUGGGGAAGGACUAAAGGGCCGCCCCGUUUCCGGAUGGGCCCGCGUCCCUUCAGCUAGUUGGUGGGGUAAAGGCCCCCCAAGGCGCCACCGGGUAGCCGGGCUGGGAGGUAUGCCGGGCACAGGGGCACUGGGGAAAGGGGCCCACUCCUACGGGAGGCAGCAGUUAGGAAUCUUCCGCAAUGGACGGAAGGCUGACGGAGCGAAGCCGCUGGGAGGAGGGAGCCCUUCGGGGUGUAAACUCCUGAACUGGGGACGAAAGCCCCGUGUAGGGGGAUGACGGUACCCAGGUAAUAGCGCCGGCCAACUCCGUG
Molecule: ribosomal RNA, 467 nt
Filed under: uncultured bacterium
Lineage: Bacteria
Description: partial 16S ribosomal RNA
Rfam family: Bacterial small subunit ribosomal RNA
Source: RNAcentral